GGAUAAAUGACCGAGUGGUUUAAGGUGUCAGUCUUGAAAACUGAAGUACUGUAAAAAGUACCGUGGGUUCGAAUCCCACUUUAUCCU
RNAcentral lists this transfer RNA (87 nucleotides) under Ophirina amphinema. Its description in RNAcentral is "tRNA-Ser". It matches the Rfam family "tRNA". From Rfam's summary of the family: Transfer RNA (tRNA) molecules are approximately 80 nucleotides in length. Their secondary structure includes four short double-helical elements and three loops (D, anti-codon, and T loops). Lineage: Eukaryota; Jakobea; Jakobida; Ophirinidae. The record is from RNAcentral.